This 328-nucleotide ribosomal RNA is filed under the name uncultured bacterium. Its description in RNAcentral is "bacterial SSU rRNA". It matches the Rfam family "Bacterial small subunit ribosomal RNA", at positions 199 to 507 of the family's 1533-position model. The record is from RNAcentral.
AAGGAAAGCGAGGGGAUCGCAAGACCUUGCGCUGAUUGAGCGGCCGAUAUCAGAUUAGCUAGUUGGUGAGGUAAAGGCUCACCAAGGCGACGAUCUGUAGCGGGUCUGAGAGGAUGAUCCGCCACACUGGAACUGAGACACGGUCCAGACUCCUACGGGAGGCAGCAGUGGGGAAUUUUGGACAAUGGGCGCAAGCCUGAUCCAGCCAUGCCGCGUGAGUGAAGAAGGCCUUCGGGUUGUAAAGCUCUUUCGGCCGGGAAGAAAUCGCACAGGUUAAUACCCUGUGUGGAUGACGGUACCGGGAUAAGAAGCACCGGCUAACUACGUG